ACUCUAAGCGGUGGAUCACUCGGCUCAUGGGUCGAUGAAGAACGCAGCAAACUGUGCGUCAUCGUGUGAACUGCAGGACACAUGAACAUCGACAUUUUGAACGCAUAUCGCAGUCCAUGCUGUUAUGUACUUUAAUUAAUUUUAUAGUGCUGCUUGGACUACAUAUGGUUGAGGGUUGUAAGACUAUGCUAAUUAAGUUGCUUAUAAAUUUUUAUAAGCAUAUGGUAUAUUAUUGGAUAAAUAUAAUAAUUUUUAUUCAUAAUAUUAAAAAUAAAUGAAAAACAUUAUCUCACAUUUGAAUGUGAAAAACGAAGAGAAAUAUUUUCUUUUUCAAUCAAAUAAUACUGAGAAAUGUCUAGCAUAAAAAAUUGAAAUAUUUUUCAUCUAGAAUUGUCUCUUAUUAAUGAUUCGGAAAUAGAAAAAUCUUGGUUAUGUUAUUAUUCUUCGUUGGUUCGUUAAAAAUGGAUAAAUAAAAACUUUGCAUACAAGAAUUAAUAAAAAUGUUAUAACGAAUUUAAUUAAAUGUUUUAUCAUUAUAUAUAAAGAAUUUAUGGCAAGAUAAAGUUAUAUACAACCUCAACUCAUAUGGGACUACCCCCUGAAUUUAAGCAUAUUAAUUAGGGGAGGAAAAGAAACUAACAAGGAUUUUCUUAGUAGCGGCGAGCGAAAAGAAAACAGUUCAGCACUAAGUCACUUUGUCUAUAUGGCAAAUGUGAGAUGCAGUGUAUGGAGCGUCAAUAUUCUAGUAUGAGAAAUUAACGAUUUAAGUCCUUCUUAAAUGAGGCCAUUUACCCAUAGAGGGUGCCAGGCCCGUAUAACGUUAAUGAUUACUAGAUGAUGUUUCCAAAGAGUCGUGUUGCUUGAUAGUGCAGCACUAAGUGGGUGGUAAACUCCAUCUAAAACUAAAUAUAACCAUGAGACCGAUAGUAAACAAGUACCGUGAGGGAAAGUUGAAAAGAACUCUGAAUAGAGAGUUAAACAGUACGUGAAACUGCUUAGAGGUUAAGCCCGAUGAACCUGAAUAUCCGUUAUGGAAAAUUCAUCAUUAAAAUUGUAAUAUUUAAAUAAUAUUAUGAGAAUAGUGUGCAUUUUUUCCAUAUAAGGACAUUGUAAUCUAUUAGCAUAUACCAAAUUUAUCAUAAAAUAUAACUUAUAGUUUAUUCCAAUUAAAUUGCUUGCAUUUUAACACAGAAUAAAUGUUAUUAAUUUGAUAAAGUGCUGAUAGAUUUAUAUGAUUACAGUGCGUUAAUUUUUCGGAAUUAUAUAAUGGCAUAAUUAUCAUUGAUUUUUGUGUUUAUUAUAUGCACUUGUAUGAUUAACAAUGCGAAAGAUUCAGGAUACCUUCGGGACCCGUCUUGAAACACGGACCAAGGAGUCUAACAUAUGUGCAAGUUAUUGGGAUAUAAACCUAAUAGCGUAAUUAACUUGACUAAUAAUGGGAUUAGUUUUUUAGCUAUUUAUAGCUAAUUAACACAAUCCCGGGGCGUUCUAUAUAGUUAUGUAUAAUGUAUAUUUAUAUUAUUUAUGCCUCUAACUGGAACGUACCUUGAGCAUAUAUGCUGUGACCCGAAAGAUGGUGAACUAUACUUGAUCAGGUUGAAGUCAGGGGAAACCCUGAUGGAAGACCGAAACAGUUCUGACGUGCAAAUCGAUUGUCAGAAUUGAGUAUAGGGGCGAAAGACCAAUCGAACCAUCUAGUAGCUGGUUCCUUCCGAAGUUUCCCUCAGGAUAGCUGGUGCAUUUUAAUAUUAUAUAAAAUAAUCUUAUCUGGUAAAGCGAAUGAUUAGAGGCCUUAGGGUCGAAACGAUCUUAACCUAUUCUCAAACUUUAAAUGGGUAAGAACCUUAACUUUCUUGAUAUGAAGUUCAAGGUUAUGAUAUAAUGUGCCCAGUGGGCCACUUUUGGUAAGCAGAACUGGCGCUGUGGGAUGAACCAAACGUAAUGUUACGGUGCCCAAAUUAACAACUCAUGCAGAUACCAUGAAAGGCGUUGGUUGCUUAAAACAGCAGGACGGUGAUCAUGGAAGUCGAAAUCCGCUAAGGAGUGUGUAACAACUCACCUGCCGAAGCAACUAGCCCUUAAAAUGGAUGGCGCUUAAGUUGUAUACCUAUACAUUACCGCUAAAGUAGAUGAUUUAUAUUACUUGUGAUAUAAAUUUUGAAACUUUAGUGAGUAGGAAGGUACAAUGGUAUGCGUAGAAGUGUUUGGCGUAAGCCUGCAUGGAGCUGCCAUUGGUACAGAUCUUGGUGGUAGUAGCAAAUAAUCGAAUGAGACCUUGGAGGACUGAAGUGGAGAAGGGUUUCGUGUGAACAGUGGUUGAUCACGAGUUAGUCGGUCCUAAGUUCAAGGCGAAAGCCGAAAAUUUUCAAGUAAAACAAAAAUGCCUAACUAUAUAAACAAAGCGAAUUAUAAUACACUUGAAUAAUUUUGAACGAAAGGGAAUACGGUUCCAAUUCCGUAACCUGUUGAGUAUCCGUUUGUUAUUAAAUAUGGGCCUCGUGCUCAUCCUGGCAACAGGAACGACCAUAAAGAAGCCGUCGAGAGAUAUCGGAAGAGUUUUCUUUUCUGUUUUAUAGCCGUACUACCAUGGAAGUCUUUCGCAGAGAGAUAUGGUAGAUGGGCUAGAAGAGCAUGACAUAUACUGUUGUGUCGAUAUUUUCUCCUCGGACCUUGAAAAUUUAUGGUGGGGACACGCAAACUUCUCAACAGGCCGUACCAAUAUCCGCAGCUGGUCUCCAAGGUGAAGAGUCUCUAGUCGAUAGAAUAAUGUAGGUAAGGGAAGUCGGCAAAUUAGAUCCGUAACUUCGGGAUAAGGAUUGGCUCUGAAGAUUGAGAUAGUCGGGCUUGAUUGGGAAACAAUAACAUGGUUUAUGUGCUCGUUCUGGGUAAAUAGAGUUUCUAGCAUUUAUGUUAGUUACUUGUUCCCCGGAUAGUUUAGUUACGUAGCCAAUUGUGGAACUUUCUUGCUAAAAUUUUUAAGAAUACUAUUUGGGUUAAACCAAUUAGUUCUUAUUAAUUAUAACGAUUAUCAAUUAACAAUCAAUUCAGAACUGGCACGGACUUGGGGAAUCCGACUGUCUAAUUAAAACAAAGCAUUGUGAUGGCCCUAGCGGGUGUUGACACAAUGUGAUUUCUGCCCAGUGCUCUGAAUGUCAAAGUGAAGAAAUUCAAGUAAGCGCGGGUCAACGGCGGGAGUAACUAUGACUCUCUUAAGGUAGCCAAAUGCCUCGUCAUCUAAUUAGUGACGCGCAUGAAUGGAUUAACGAGAUUCCUACUGUCCCUAUCUAUCCCUAUCCCUAUCUGCGAAUGCAGUGUCCCCCAUGUGGCUUAGCAAACUCUCUCGUCAUGCCGAGGGGCAAGCUAACUACAGACGGGGUGAGCUGCUGUCAGAGUGGAUGCUGGAGGCAAGAGUCGCCGCCCUAAACCAGUCAACAGAGGUGUACACGUUCGAUAAUCACAGAGCGACUAGUGAUAUCGACGUGACAAUCGUCAAUGAAGCAGCAUCUAUGUGGGCCACAUAUGAGUGGAGAGUGGACGAGUGGGAAUUGAGUGACCACAACAUCAUUACUGUUGUGGCCGAACCAACUACCGCGCGCGCAGUUGAGAGCAUAGCUCCUGUGCCGUCCUGGAACUUCUCCAAUGCACGUUGGCGAUUGUUCAAGGAGGAAAUUGUGAGUAGAAUAGCCGAACUUCCGGAAAACUUUUCAGAGUCGCCGUUGGACCAGCAAGUUUCGACCCUGCGCAGUAUAGUACAUAGUGUAUGUGAUACUGCGCUAGGAAGGAAGUUGACUCGAUCGCCCAGCAGGAGAGCACGUUGGUGGACUGCCGACCUCUGCGCUGCAAGGCGCGAAGUCCGAAGACUUCGUCGCCUGCUCCAAGAUGGAAGGCGUCGAGAUGACGAUGCCGCUGUAGAGCUUGU
RNAcentral lists this ribosomal RNA (3919 nucleotides) under Drosophila melanogaster (fruit fly). Its description in RNAcentral is "eukaryotic LSU rRNA". The stretch from base 572 to 3377 matches the Rfam family "Eukaryotic large subunit ribosomal RNA". Lineage: Eukaryota; Metazoa; Arthropoda; Insecta; Diptera; Drosophilidae. The record is from RNAcentral.